UAAAGUCCCUAGAGUCUCUAUCCCAUUUAUGAGUGUGUUACUCAGUGGAUUUUCAAUUGUUUCUGUUUUCUUUCUUUCUUCGUGGACACAUCCCCCCACAGAGUAUUACCGUUUGCAUACAUACAUUCGCAUCAUGAGGUCUCUUAGGGACCAAAAUUCAUCUCUUUGUUAUUAUUUAAGCCCAUUCUACCUCGUCGAGACGAAGAUUUUAACCUUCACUUCUCCGGCUAGAAUGACC
Molecule: long non-coding RNA, 238 nt
Filed under: Lathyrus oleraceus (garden pea)
Lineage: Eukaryota; Viridiplantae; Streptophyta; Magnoliopsida; Fabales; Fabaceae
Description: Pisum sativum (pea) long non-coding RNA (PSAT_LNC005872)
Source: RNAcentral